CACGUGGCGACGGUUGGCUCGUUAACCCAUUUAAAGGCUGUCUGCGGAGAAAGUACCGUGUCCCCGUGCACUUUAGCAAGCCGGAAGCGUUUAGUUUCCUCUUGAGGCCUCAGUCAGUAGUCCUUGUCUGUUAAAUGUGUAGGUAGAUGAGGGUUAAAUCAUUCUGCAGGUUUGGGUAAUAUCGGGGUCAUGACAGUGGAGCGCGUGCACCGUCACCUCUGCACCAGGUGCGUUUAAAGCACGCUACAGACAUAAUUUUCCACUAAGCAGCACAGGUUUGACCUCGUCACCCUCUCCUGUUGCCUCCAAAGAUUUAUCAAAGGAGGAGCUGAAGUGGACACAUUGUUGCAUUUUGGGAUGGAAAACAGCCACAUGGUCAGAAAAAGAAAAGGUAGG
Molecule: long non-coding RNA, 396 nt
Organism: Thunnus maccoyii (southern bluefin tuna)
Lineage: Eukaryota; Metazoa; Chordata; Actinopteri; Scombriformes; Scombridae
Exons: 4
Source: RefSeq, a predicted model, not a curated record